This 1069-nucleotide long non-coding RNA is filed under the name Anas platyrhynchos platyrhynchos (common mallard). Its description in RNAcentral is "lncRNA (ENSAPLG00000024908.1)". Lineage: Eukaryota; Metazoa; Chordata; Aves; Anseriformes; Anatidae. The record is from RNAcentral.
CCUCCCCGUGCUCCCAGUUCCCUCCAGACACUCCCUGCUCCUCCCAGUGCCCUCCCAGUUCCUUCCCAGUCCAUCCCAGUGCAUCCCCACUCCAUCCCAGUCCACCCAGUGCCCUCCCAGUCCCUUCCUAGUCCAUCCCAGUGCCUUCCCACUUCAUCCCAGUCCUCCCAGUGCCCUCCCAGUCCCUUCCUAAUCCAUCCCAGUCUAUCCCAGUGCCCUCCCAGUCUAUCCCAGUGCCCUCCCAGUCCAUUCCAGUGCCUUCCCAGUCCACCCAGUGCCCUCCCAGUGUCCUCCCAGUCCAUCCCAGUGCCUUCCCACUUCAUCCCAGUCCUCCCAGUCCCUUCCCAGUCCAUCCCAGUGCCUUCUCGCUCCAUCCCAGUUCUCCCAGUGCCCUCCCAGUCCCUUCCUAAUCCAUCCCAGUCCAUCCCAGUGCCCUCCCAGUCCAUUCCAGUGCCCUCCCAGUCCAUCCCAGUCCACCCAGUGCCCUCCCAGUGUCCUCCCAGUCCAUCCCAGUGCCUUCCCACUUCAUCCCAGUCCUCCCAGUCCCUUCCCAGUCCAUCCCAGUGCCUUCUCACUCCAUCCCAGUCCUCCCAGUCCCUUCCCAGUCCACCCCAGUCCAUCCCAGCGCCCUCCCAGCCCACCCGGGUACAGCCGAGGGGUUACCACGGCAACAAACCCCGCCUCAACCCUCAAUUGAUUGACGGCCGCCUCAACCAAUCAGCGGCCACCAGGGGCGGGGCCGAGCUGCGGGCUGAACGAAUCAGCGCGCGGGACGAGCUGAGGGCGGGAAGGAGUUACAAGGCGGGAGGCGGGCGCGGUGCAUUGUGGGAGUUGUAGUCCGGAAGUGAGGCCUUUAUUUCCCACAGUGCCCCGCGGCGGAAGGGAGGGGGAAAAUGGCGGCGAGCAGCGGGACCGAGGCGAGCGGGGCGGCGGCGGCGGGGCCGGUUUCGUUCGGCUUCAGCCGCAAGGCGGAGAGGCGGCGGGUGCUGGCGGCCGGGCCUUGCUCGGAGCCGGGCGGCGACGCCGGCCCCGACACCGAUUUCCUCACGGCUGUGGAGGACCGCGAGCU